AGGUGGUUUGUCGCGUUGUUCGUGAAAUCUCACGGCUUAACUGUGAGCGUGCGGGCGAUACGGGCAGACUUGAGUACUGCAGGGGAGACUGGAAUUCCUGGUGUAGCGGUGGAAUGCGCAGAUAUCAGGAGGAACACCGGUGGCGAAGGCGGGUCUCUGGGCAGUAACUGACGCUGAGGAGCGAAAGCGUGGGGAGCGAACAGGAUUAGAUACCCUGGUAGUCCACGCCGCAAACGGUGGGUACUAGGUGUGGGUUUCCUUCCUUGGGAUCCGUGCCGUAGCUAACGCAUUAAGUACCCCGCCUGGGGAGUACGGCCGCAAGGCUAAAACUCAAAGAAAUUGACGGGGGCCCGCACAAGCGGCGGAGCAUGUGGAUUAAUUCGAUGCAACGCGAAGAACCUUACCUGGGUUUGACAUGCACAGGACGCCGGCAGAGAUGUCGGUUCCCUUGUGGCCUGUGUGCAGGUGGUGCAUGGCUGUCGUCAGCUCGUGUCGUGAGAUGUUGGGUUAAGUCCCGCAACGAGCGCAACCCUUGUCUCAUGUUGCCAGCGGGUAAUGCCGGGGACUCGUGAGAGACUGCCGGGGUCAACUCGGAGGAAGGUGGGGAUGACGUCAAGUCAUCAUGCCCCUUAUGUCCAGGGCUUCACACAUGCUACAAUGGCCGGUACAAAGGGCUGCGAUGCCGCGAGGUUAAGCGAAUCCUUUUAAAGCCGGUCUCAGUUCGGAUCGGGGUCUGCAACUCGACCCCGUGAAGUCGGAGUCGCUAGUAAUCGCAG
This 776-nucleotide ribosomal RNA is filed under the name uncultured Mycobacterium sp. RNAcentral describes it as "bacterial SSU rRNA". It matches the Rfam family "Bacterial small subunit ribosomal RNA", at positions 573 to 1347 of the family's 1533-position model. Lineage: Bacteria; Bacillati; Actinomycetota; Actinomycetes; Mycobacteriales; Mycobacteriaceae. The record is from RNAcentral.